GGAGGGGUGGCAGAGCGGUUUAAUGCGGCAGUCUUGAAAACUGUUGAGGGUGCAAGCCCUCCGUGGGUUCGAAUCCCACCCCCUCCGCCA
RNAcentral lists this transfer RNA (90 nucleotides) under Candidatus Fermentithermobacillaceae bacterium. RNAcentral describes it as "tRNA-Ser". It matches the Rfam family "tRNA". From Rfam's summary of the family: Transfer RNA (tRNA) molecules are approximately 80 nucleotides in length. Their secondary structure includes four short double-helical elements and three loops (D, anti-codon, and T loops). The record is from RNAcentral. Lineage: Bacteria; Bacillati; Bacillota; Candidatus Fermentithermobacillia; Candidatus Fermentithermobacillales; Candidatus Fermentithermobacillaceae.